UGCUGAUCACGAAGUCCUUGAAGGCGC
Molecule: non-coding RNA, 27 nt
Filed under: Rattus norvegicus (Norway rat)
Lineage: Eukaryota; Metazoa; Chordata; Mammalia; Rodentia; Muridae
Source: RNAcentral